AUCAGGAAGACGUGGUUCUCGAGCCCGUUCCGCAGGAAGACGGUGAGUUAGAUGCCUAAGGACCUUAUAGCUCUAUUUAUAGUUUUUAUUUUGAGUAUCUCUUUUAAUUAGCUUAUUCUUUCAUAUUUUGAGUACGUUUUUUGGUUAUUGUGUAAGGGAUAUUAAUCAAAAAUUUUAUUACGCUUCCGCAUUUAAGAUUUUUAAUGCAUACAUCUUCAUUUAAAUUCCGGGGCCGUUACAAAGAUGCUUAUUCUAAGGAGCUCCAGCUUUAAAGAAUAUUCUGAUGAUCAAAUCCAGCUAUAAUGGGCCUUUAGCUGAAUAUAUUGUUGAACCCCCACCAAGUUCUAGAUGUGAGGUAUGAUAUAUGAUAAUGUGCCUUAUGACUAUUGAUGUGAUACCCACUAAAGAUAAACCUAAACUAGAGGAGUGUAAGAAGCGGACUGGUAUUAAUGAGCUUCCAGGAAACGAAAGAAAGCAAUUACGAGGUAACAAUACCCUAUGCUACUCUAUUCUUCACUAAGUAUCAAACAGUGAGGCCGAAUCCACCAAACAGAGUUCCCGACCUAGGAAGAAAUGACACUAGAAGGUGUUAAAAACCCAAAGAAAAACGGACUUUACUGUUAAGAAACGGCUUGGCCUGAAAAUCCCGGCCUAAGAAAGAAGUCUGAAUGUAGUCUGCAUAUGGGUACCCGUAGGGUAAACAUGUGUCGCAUUGCAUAUAUAGGAUAGGAUACUUGGCCCACACAUUCAUCGAUGUUCUAAGCUCCCAUGGUGAGGAAGUCGAAGGUAACUUUAUACUUCGCAGGAAAAUCAGAGACAGGCAACUUUCUUGACGCAUAGACCUGGAGGCCCACAUGCGAGCAAGGAUGCUUGCGUAUGCGCCGAACAGGCAAGCCAACCUACACAACCCAUGAACACACACAUGUGCCCACAUGUGCCGCGCACAUGAGUGUCGGGAGCACCAUACACGUGACCUUCUAGGCCCACACAGAACCGACCGCGCGCGCAAGCCCAGAAGGCCGAACGCGUGCGCAAGCCCAGAAGGCUGAACGCGUGCGCAAUGUGCGGACGGGCCCGAGGCCAGCCCAACCAAGCCCACGAUUCCUACGGGCCUUUCCCACGCUACCCAAGUGGGCCGAUUGACCCAACCUAAUUGGGUUACCCUAAAACCGGCCCUCCCUAAUUCUUUUAAAUUAAUUAAUAUUUUUUUAAAGUUUAAAAAAUGAGCUUUGGGACCCAUUUUUUAAAUUACCCAUGUUAUUAACUUAAAAUCCCACAUGUCUAAAUUAAUUUCUAAAUAUAUUUUUCAUGGAAGUCACAUGGGAUAAGUAUUAAUGUAUUUUAAUUAUUAUUUUAUUAUAAGUCAAUCCCUUAAGAUUAUUUAAUUAAUAUUUUUGAGAUAGGAUAAUUAUUUUAUUAUGUAAUUAUCCUAAAUUUAGAUAGAAUUUUAUUUAGAACGUUAUUUUAUUAAAUUAUCCCAAUAGUUUGUAUUUAUCUAGAUUGCUCGAAAAAAACUAUAAAUAGGCAUUUGCUCAUAGAUUGUAAACAUACCAAUUACAAUCAGUAUGAGAGAAUUCUUAAAAGCUUAGGUUUUUAUUUUUUUUAGCAUUUUUACUAAAUUAGCUUCUCCAAGUUCUUUAAGAAGUAGGAGUUUUCAGAAAUCCUAUUGAGCUAAGAAGCAGGGAUCAACUUAUCAGUAAAUCUGUUGCGAUUUUUCUUUUCUUGUUUUUUUUUCCUAGUCUUUGUUUAUGCAUUUCUUCUACGAUUGUAGAUUCAAUUAGAGUGAUGAGUUUAUCUAGACGAUUAUAGUUCCUUGCUCACUAUUUUUUCUAUUUGAUAAUGACAAUAAUAAUAAUAAUAAUAAAAGAAGAUUCAGCAGAGGAUAAGAAGUCUUACCUUACUCUAUUGGAUAUUCACAAGUGAAAAAAGACGAAUGAAUCCAACUUUUCCUUUUCCUAUUUUACGUUCUUCUUUUCUUCUUCACGACUUCAUUAUGCGCUGGCAAGUUCGUUAACAAGUCAAUGAAAGGACAAAGAGGGAGUCAGUAGCAAUGGUGAUGUAGCUCAGAAAUAUAGAUAGGAGGAGGACGAGAACUGGUGACCCCAAGAGUAUCAGAGACAUGGAUGAAGAGGGAAACAGGGUUGUUGUCCUGACUGAUGCAGCAUCAUGUUGAUUCCAUUGCUGGCAACUCUCUCCCUUCUCCGUCUCCCUUUGUCCACUUUCCUUCUGGUUAUUAAUCGAAGAAUUUAAAAUUUUGAGAAUUAAAUUAUUUGUAGACUUUAAAAAUUCUCUCAAAAAAAAUUAAAAUUAAUUAAUUAAAUUAGUAGAUUACUAUACAUUAAAAAAUAAAAAAAACAUGUUUAAAACUAUUAUUAUUAUUAUUUUAUUUAUUAAUUAAAAUUAAUUCAGUUUAAACAUUAGAUAAUUUGUUUUAAGAAAGAAGCUUAAAAUAAUCAGAUAAUAUUAAAAUAUCAAACUAUAAUACAGUUUUAAAAAAAUAAAAAAUAAUCAUACUGAAAAAAAAGUUCCAUACAAAAUUAUAAAAAAAAAUCAAUUUUUAGAAACUAAUUUAAUAAUCUAAUCUAAUAUCCAUUUUUAAAUUAAAUAAUAGUAAUUUAAAAUUGAUAUUUAUAUUAAAUAAAAUAUUUAAUUAAAUGAAUAUUUUAAAAUAACUUAAAUUAUUAAAAUAAUUUCUAAAAAAGUAAUAUCAAACAAAUAAUUAUAACAAUUAAAUCUUAUAGCAUAAUUCUUAAUCCUCGUUUAUCAUUAAUUUUGUAACAUAAUAACUUAAUAAAAUAUUUUAUAUUAAAGACAUUUUUUACAAGUAAAAAAUAAUAUUUCACUUUAAAACCACUUCUAUUAAAAGUCAUUUUGAAAGCAUUUUUACCAACUCCAAGCACUGGCUUUGUAAAACAGACUUUAAAAUCAAUCCACUCAUAUUCUUGUGCGAUCUACCCACAAAUGAAAUGUGCACUAGCUUUAGGGGGAGGAAAAAAAGCACCUUAAUUAGUUGUGUUCAUCUUUGCUUUAUGCAUGUAUAUAAAUUUGAUUCAAUCGCUACCCAAGUAAAAACAUUAAACAAAGGCCAAUGAAUCCAAUUAUAAUAAGAUUAAGAGAGACAACACAAAACUAUAAAACUCAAUUGGUUAGCUUCACAGCUCAANNNNNNNNNNNNNNNNNNNNNNNNNNNNNNNNNNNNNNNNNNNNNNNNNNNNNNNNNNNNNNNNNNNNNNNNNNNNNNNNNNNNNNNNNNNNNNNNNNNNNNNNNNNNNNNNNNNNNNNNNNNNNNNNNNNNNNNNNNNNNNNNNNNNNNNNNNNNNNNNNNNNNNNNNNNNNNNNNNNNNNNNNNNNNNNNNNNNNNNNNNNNNNNNNNNNNNNNNNNNNNNNNNNNCUGAAUCAGUCUCAAAAGCUGGGGGUUUUGCUUUCCAAGCUCCUGAAGCAUGGGCUGUAACAAAAACAGCAUUUUCAACUCUUCUCAAGAAGCUACCAAGAUAAAUUCGGUUUAAAGAGAAAAAGAGAUUCAGUGACCUGUAAGAUUUGUGGAUUUGAUUGCACUAUUGAUCGCAACGUUUGGAACUAAAACCAACAGAGAAACAAGAGAAGUUAUCUCAUCGCGAAAAUUCAUCACCUACAAAUCUUUAGAUAUUGCCACUUUUCAAAUAAUUCAAUAUCAAUCAGAUUUAUACUAAUAACUAAUGAGCCAGAUACUCGUAUAAAGAGGAAAUAGAUUGUUCAAAUUAGCCUUAAGUUUAAAGACGGCCUAAAGAUUAAAAAUUAUAAUUUUAUUAAAUACAAAACUAGUAUGCUAUUUAGGAGUCUAUUAUCAUAGUUCUAGUAACUUUAUAAUUUUUUGUUUUCAAUAUUUAUUUUUACUAUUUACAUUAGUAGUAUUAGUUCCUCAUCCUAUUAGUGUUAGUGAUCUAAUUCUACCGAAGAACUAUUAUGUACAAAUUUUGGUAAAUUCACUUCUAGUUAUUCAGUAAAAUUUUUUAUGCAUUUCUUAAUUUUCUGAUUCUAUGUGCCAUCAAACUCUAUAUUAAGACUUAUUCGAUGUAGAUAUAUAAGAAACUCUAGAUGUGAUACCUAAAUCUUUGUCUCCAAAUUCCUAAAUAGCUAAUUUAAUCCUAAUUCAUGCUAGAUCAGUUUGUAUAAUAGCUAAAGAAUCCUACUCCAAAAACUUAAAACCCCACACCCAAAUACCCAAACUCGACUGACCGGGAAGAAAAACAGAAAUAACCAAUCACUGAAGCCCAUAAAUCAACUGCCAAGGCAAUCAGAACCAAAGACUCUCUCUCAUCCCCAAAAGCCCAGGGUGAAAUUCCACGGAAAACAAGCCACUCACGAUUGCACUUUUUCCCUAUCCUGCCUUCUCAUUCCCAAAUUUUCUUGUUGAUAGUGUUUCCUACCACUACCAGAUCUGGUACCACUCUCUCAAGCUGAACCUAGUGUUGGGACACUGAUGCUGCUCAAUGAACAAAAAUUGGUGCAUAGUUCCUAUGCAAACGUAACCGCAAGUGAAGUAGUCAGAUUGCCACUGUUUUGACUUUCUAAGAUUGGGUUGACCAAAUCAGUUCAUCCUAUCCAGUUUUAGAGCCCUUCUACACUGGUUACAAUUCCCCAAUUAAUUGUCAUGCACUCAGUUUUCUAAUUAACCAUCAACUUCAACAUCUGCAGUAUAAAAGAAUUUUCAGUACGUGGAAUAUUAAGGAAGAUAAUGAGCUAUAGCUAUGAGAUAAUAAAGCUGACAACUCUUUCUUAGUUGUAGCCUGAGCACAAUCAAACAGGAAAAAGUGAAGCAAAGGUCGAAAGCAUUCAACAAUAUUUUCAAAUCCAAACCUUUGUGGCAUAGAGAGAAGCUUGUCAUUUACAAAGAUUGUUUCCAGAAUCUUGUUUCAAUCUCUAUCGUUGAACGACAGUCUUUCGACACAAUCAUAUCCGCAACCAUAUAGAUUAGCUUGGACAAAUAGUACAAGUAUUUUGGUAACUCAACCAAGUCUUGACUCUAUUCGUCAUGGUAUUUACAGAGAUUCAAUCUUGUGCAACAUUGUUCCUACAAUGUUCAUAAAUGUUUGUCUAGGUCAACCUUAGCUUUUUAAUAGACAUGUUCAGUAUAACGUGACUACUAAUACCCAUUAUUUUACACUUGGCACAAAGGAUAUAGCUUUAAAAUCUAUGACUAAGAAGAGAUGAGGAAACAUAAACAUCCAAAAGCAUCUAUGGAGAGAAAAAGCUCAUUGAAGUUGAAAACAAGAACUGCCGCGUUCUCCUAAUAGUAGAGAUGUUGAGGUUACUAAAGAUUUUUUCAUUACGCGAAGAGACUUAGACAAUUUUUAUACAGUAUAUAGAUAAAAUUAGGUUGUUACAAAACUAUUAACAAUUUAAUUUACACAUGAAUACUACCGUUGCACUUUUACAUAUAUUAGAAAAGGUCAAUUGCAAGGAGACACCGAUGGCAAUAAUUAGAUCUGUUUAACUCAAGGAUGAAGUUAAUGCACAAUUCUUCCGAUACGUUGAUUUCAUCCUCCUCUCAAUAAAAUUUCACUCUAUUAAAUAAUCAUGUGUUUCCAUUAGUUUUAGCAUUAAAGAGAAUAACCGGACAGAAAUUUUCCUAGAGUUUUGUUACAAGAUUACAUGAUAUUUACUUGUAAUUAUUGGUAGCUGACUUUCCAUAUAUAUUAGCAUAAUUAUAUACAGCCAAUUAAUAGGCUAAUUUAUGUUAGUUACCUUACACAGAUCCCACUAUAUGUAUAUAUAUCCCUAACCUAUUAGAAUGAAACUAUCAGACAAUGUUCCUAUAUUUUUCCGCUCUCUUACAUAGUCUCAAAGCCAUGGAUUGAGAGUUGGGCCAGAUCAGAUCUGAUCUGUGUCCCAACCACCACUGAAGGAGAAAUAGAGGCAGCAGCUGCGGCGGCAUCUGAAACGAGGAGGCUUGGAGCCGAUCUGGUGAGACGAGACAGCCAGAAUCAGAAGGGAGGGAGAAGCCAAGGAGAUGGCUUGUGUACACGGCUCGGAGAAGACAAACCGUGCAGCAGGAAUCCUGAUAUGCGUGUGCAGCAGCCAGUCCAGAUCCAAGUCGGGGCGUGGCGGGGAGAAGACAAUCCAGCCUUGUACGCGACAGAUCGGUCUAGAUCUGCGUGAGGUCGGUCUGGAGAGGGUGUAGAUGAAGCUAUCUGUGUCGGAAUCAAAAGGUCGGAGAGGAAGAAUCUGAGGCAGUUGCCAUCGGUUGCGCGAAGCUAGAUCCACAAAUUUUUCAGUGUUUUCCGGCGCGAUUUAACAAAAUCCGUUCACUUGUUCAUUGCAAAAUUAUAUGACUCAACAAAAGAUUCUCUAUCAGUCCUCUUGUGUUGAUACACCCACUCAAAAUGGAAUAACUGAGAGAAAGACUAAACAUUUACUUGAGACUGCUCGAGCUCUUUUAUUCCAAACACAGGUCCCUAAGCAGUUCUAGGCUGAUGCUAUUUCCACGACCUACUUUUUAAUUAAUCGUCCGUCAUCUAUAGUACUUAAUGGAGAUGCUACUUACAGUGUUUUUUUUUUCCAAACAAGUCAUUGUUUUUUAUUCAACCUAGAGUAUUUGGUAACACCUGCUAUAUUCGAGAUGUGUUGCCUAAUAUUACUAAAUUAGACCCAAAUGUCUUGAAAUAUGUAUUUUUGGGAUAUUCUUACCUUCAAAAGGAAUAUCAAUGCUAUUUUCUAGAUCUCAAUAAAUACGUGGUAUCAACUGAUUUGGUAUUUUCAGAGAACACGUCAUUCUUCUCCUUAUCAUCUAAUUCUACAAAUUAAGAGGAGGACGAUGAGUAGCUCAUUUAUAAGUUCACAUCAAGUGUCUCAAAUGAGCAAUCAGAUAAUGGUGUUUCUUCAGAUGAUGUGUCUCCAACUCUAAUUGAGUAAGUUGAUGAUGGUGUGCCUCUGACCGAAGUACAACCACCAAUUAUUCAUAUUUAUUACAAAAGACAACAGACUAAUGAUACAUGUCCUGUACCAGCUUCCUCAUCGUCUGAUCCUAUCCCACAUGACUUGGAUCUUCUCAUUAAUUUUCUUAACGGUAAACAUUAAUGCACCCUUUCUAAAUCUACGUAUCCCAUUGAUAAUUUUAUUUCAUAUAGUCACCUGUCCCAUUCGUUUAUUUUUUUUAAUUACUUUUAUAGAUUCAAUUUCCAUACUUAAGGGAAUUAUGGAGGCUUUGAAUCACUCUCUUUGGUAUAAAAUGAUGUUUGACUAGAUAAAUGCUUUCGGUGAAAAUCAUACCUAAGAUUUGGCGAAUUUGUCAAAAGUAAAAAAGUUGUGAAAUGCAAAUGGAUCUUUUCAGUCCAAGUGAAUCCAGAUGGUUCCGUGGCAAGACUUAAAGUCAAACUAGUAACGAAAGACUAUACUCAAACUUAUGAAGUGGACUAUUCUGAUAUAUUCUCUCUAGUGGUCAAACUUACAUCUCUUUAAUUAUUCAUCUCUAUUGCAGCCUCCCAAAAGUAGCCCUUACAUAACUUAGAUAUUAAGAAAGCAUUUUUUCAUAGUGAUCUCUCAGAAAAAGUGUAUAUGAAACAACCACAUGAAUUUGUUGCUCAAGGGGAGUAUGAGAAUAUCUGUCAUUCAAAGAAAUCUUUGUGUAAUUUAAAACAGAUUCCCCGUACGUAAUUUGGCAAGUUUAGGGAAGUAGUUCUAUAUUAAAAAAGAGUAAGUAUAAUCAUUCGAUCUUUUAUAAAUAAUUAAUAGCUGGUAUUAUACUUUUUGUUAUUUAUGUAGAUGACAUUGUCAUUAUAGGAAAUGAUUGUGCAGAAAUAUCUUCUCUCAAGUCAUUCUUGCAUACUAAGUUUCACACUAAAAACUUGAAUCAGCUAAAAUAUUUCUUUGGAGCCGAAGUAACAAAAAGCAAGAAAGGAAUUUUCUUGUCUCAAAAGAAGUAUGUACUUGAUCUAAUUGCAGAAAUUGAAAAAUUGACAGCUAAGUCGUGCAAUACACAAAUGACGCCACAUGUAUAUCUUACAAAAGAUAAUAGCGAACCUCUUGAUGAUCUGGAAAAGUACAGGCAACUAGUUGGAAAAUUGAAUUAUCUCACAGUGACUUCUAGAUAUUGCAUAUCAUGUUAAUGUUGCUAUUCAUUUUAUAUCUGCAUCUACAAUCAAACAUUGAGAAGCUUUAUAACAAAUUGUGCUGCUUAGAAGGUGCUCCAAGACUUAACAUAUUAUUUAGCAAUUAUGAGCACACUCACAUUAAACGCUUUGCAGAUAUUGAUUUGGCUGAAUCUAAAAUUGAUAAACGGUCCACUACAGGUUAUGUGUUUUUGCUAGUGAGAACUUAAUAUCAUGAAGAAGUAAGAGGCAGACCGUUGUGCCCUAAUCUAAUACAGAAUCCGAAUAAAGAGCUAUGACCCAAUCUACAUGUGAAGUCUUAUGGAUACAUCACCUUCUAACCGAAGUGGGUUUAAAUCCUGUGUCACCUGUAAAACUCAGAGUGUGAUAAUUAAUCUGCAUUUCAUAUUACUUCAAAUCUAGUGUACCAUGAAAGAAUCAAACAUAUCAAAAUUCAAGAAAACUUGGUUUCUAUUGGUUAUGUGAAGACAGGAGAACGUGUAAUAUAUUCACGACUUUAAUGCAACUCGAACUGAAUACUUUCGUAACAAACUAGACAUGAUAAAUAUCUAUGCUUCAACUUGAGGAAGAGUGUUACAAGAUUACUUGAUAUUUACUUGUAAUUAUUGAUCGUUGACUUUCCAUAUAUAUUAGCAUAAUUAUAAACAGCCAAUUAAUAAACUAAUUUAUGUUAGUUACCUUACACCACUCUAUAUGUAUGUAUAUCCCUAACCUAUUGAAAUGAAACUAUCAAAAAAUAUUCCUAUAUUUUUCCGCUCCCUUACAAGUUUCUUGGAAAAGCUCGAGGUUAAUGUUCUACAUUAUUCGCUAUUUCACAACUUAUAGAUGAGUUCUUUCCAACGAGGAAAGAAUUAUGCAAAAUAAUGUAAAUUUAAAUUGCUAAAUAAAAUUAAGAAUGAUAAUUAUAUUACACAUAAAGCCAAUGUAACAUUCAGGAAUUUACCAUUAAAUGUUUAGUGCCUUUAGGUUCUUAUUUUUUCACUAUUUAGUUUCCUUGUACUUACCGUAUUAUUCUCCAAUUUUAUUAGUAUUAGUUAUCUAAUUAUAUUUAGAAACAUAACUAAAUUAGUAUUAUAAAUAUUUUUGUAAAUUCACUUUUUGAGACAUCCUUUAGUUAUUCAAGAAAGAAACUAAAUUUUCCAGUUCUAUAUUGCACUAAAUCCUUACAUUUGAUGCUUAUAAGUUCUUAGAUAUAACAUCCAAGAAACAGAAAGUGUGAAGCGUAGAAUUUAUUCCUAAAUUCCCAAGAAUGCAAACUUAGCCCCAACUUGUACUGUAUUAUGGUGAUUAGAUUCUAGGUUUUCUGGUUUAAUAGAAAAGAGACUAUAUUAGCAUAAGAGAGAAAAAAAAUGUGGAGAAUAAGACAUCUUCCUCAAAGAAUUACAUCAGAUACAACGAAAAGAAACAUAGGAAUGAAAAACUCUAAGAGAUGGAAACAACAGGCUGCCAGUUUCAGUGAAGCAUAGGAAUGAAAAACUCUAAGAGAUGGAAACAACAGGCUGCCAGUUUCAGUGAAGCUCUGAGACGGCUAUAUCAGAGUAUCUCCUUGACUUUUGAUGCAAAAUGUAGAAAGAAAUAUAACCCUAUCCCACAACUCCUAAAGAGAAGAUAACAGUCAUAAAAAAUUCUGCAGCUUUUUUCCAGCCAAAUCACCCAUAAUCCUGCAAAUAUUGCCCCUUGCAAUAAAGGCCUGGCUCCCUUGCGCACCCUUCUCCACAAAUACAUGAACCCAUUAAGCCCUCAACCUAGAUCCUAGGUUUCAGGAAGAAUUCAGCCAAAUCUUCCAUAUUAGUUUGUACCCAAAAUUCAGCUAUAAAAUCAUCAGAGAACAACUUAUAAGAAAAAGGAGGUUUAAAGUAUCCAACUCCAUAUACCAAAAGCUGUCCAACAAGUCCUAAUUUUGGAAUUGGAGUAGGUUGUUAUGGAAGAUUUCAGUCACUUCCACCAUCAUUUUGAGGCAUUUGUUAAUAUAUAUCAGGAGGAUCCAAAGCAUUGGAAACCAAACCAAGAAUUCAAUACAGGGGGUGAAUGACCUGACUAGGGAACUUUCAGUCCCUUCGGGCAAACAAAACAUAGGUGAAGUCAGCAUAAACAUAGGUGAACACAGUAUUGCCAGGGGAAGACAUUACUAGCUCCUGGUUCCGUUUAGGCCACGAUCAUUUUGAUGCUGGUUCUUUUAUCUCCAAGGAUUCUACUAAAGUUCAAGAUUUUGAUGGCUCUUUUGACCACUUGCAUUCAUUUGAUCGCUGCAACAUUUUUUUUUGGCUGUCAGAAUCUCAAUCAGUCCCACCUAGACAAUUUCUGAUGGGUUUAGAUGAUGCUAAUCAAGGCUUCCAGCUUCAGGAAUUACUUGCUAUAUUUACCAAAAAUUUUGGUACGCUACAUGUUUGCCUCAUGUACACAGUUCUAAAAUUUUGCUGCAAUCUGUUGCAAGACGGAGAAAAAUUUUCUCAUUCUGAAGUUAACAAAAGUUACUUUAUGUCGAGUGAAGACUUUUUUAUUGUUCUAAAGCACUUCUAUGGCACAGGAACAACCUCCGGAUUUGGGAUGAUCUGUCAACUGGAAUUUUUUCUUUUGGGAAGCUGUUCGACUAGGCUGUCUCUGUUUCUCAUUAUUGGUGCUUGCGGACAAGCACCUAUCAGAGGAGGUAUGUAAUCUUAUAGUCCAUAAUAAAUAAUAAAAGCACUUAAGAGUCUGGUUUAUGACACGGACCCACAGACAGCAAGCAGCGGGCGGAACACAGGCAAAAUGCAAAGAGAACCAUUACUGCUUUGGUUAAAGUGAGAUGCCUUUUAUUUCAGGAGUUUCCUUAUCUCUGUAAUUUAAAUAAAAAAGGCAACUUAAGAAAGCCUAAGGUCAUGGUGAUUAAAUAGGCUAAUUAUUUUUUUUCAAUAAAGUGUGAAUAGAUAAUAAACUGUAUGCGAUUAAAUCACUAAUUAUCGUAACUUAAAAUCAUGAAGAUUAGAUUACCAGUUUUAGGAAGAAGUAAGCAGGCUUAUUCCUAUUUAUUUGUACCCUUUUAUAAAAAUUAUGCAAUCAAAUCAUUGAAGAAAAAUUUAUACAAAGAAUUUUAGAUUAUUUAACUGCUGAGACUCAAGGACUUUAGAAUCCUAAAUACUAAUACCACACAUUACUGCACAUAACCUGAUCCCGAAACCAUGACUCUGCCACCACAUUGAUAGGAAAGCUUGUAUAAGCCCAUCAAAGAAAGACUAAAGUAGAUUUCAUAUCGGAAAAAGGGGAGGAAGAAAACAUAAGUUUAUUGUAACCUCUAUGUAGAGUAUUAAGUUUCCUUGAUAACAGGAAUUGUAACACUUCACAGGAAUAAUACCUGUUGAUUGCUUCUCAGAAAUUCCAGAGAUCCAAGUCCACCAACACCAGCACCAGAUGGUGCCUCCUGGGAAAAAUUCAGCAUAGCAUAAACAAAAAAAGGAAACCUCCUUACAAACACAAUGAAAUUCAAACAAGAUCAAAAUGUUUACCUGAGGAAACAUAUUUAAAGGAGACGAAUUAGGUGCUCCAGAGGCACCAAUUACUGGGGCUGCACCUGUUUCUGUUAUCUGAGUUGCGGGCAAAUGACCUACUGGAACAGCAACUUCUGUUGUUUCAGGUAUUCCCUAAAAAUAAAGAAGUAUUAAGACCAGAUGUAGAGAAAUAAACAUUUAUCGCUACAUUUGCAAAAUUUAGACUUACAGAGUAAAGAUAAUCUACUGCUCGCUCCGGGUUGUUAUAAGCUGCACGAAGUGCUCGGCUAACUGUCUCUUUGUCCCAGUUUCCGCCACCAAUAUCCAUUAUUUGUUGAAUGGUCUGUUCAAGAUUACUACCAGCAACUAAAUUGGAGGCAGCUUGACCAUAGGUAUCAGCAUGUGGUCUGCAAUAAGUAUAUAAUAUGCAUCACUAGAUAAUAACAAAAACUCUGUUGAACACUAGAAAAUAACAUACAUUAAAAAGUUGAGAAGAGAAUUUUUUUAAGGUUGUUAAAUCAAGAGAAUUUUUCUAAAGCCAUUUGAUCACGUUAACUGAAAUUUCCUGGAUUAUAUGCUUUUGAGACUUGGUUUUGGACCCAAAUGGAGAAGCUGGAUAAAAACAUGUAUUUUCGCUACUAAUUUUGCUGUGAUCGUCAACGGCGCCCUCCACUUUUUUCAAUGCCUCUAGAGGCCUACGGCAAGGAGAUCCCCUAUCUCCACUCUUAUUCAUUAUUGUGAUGGAGGCAUUGAAUAAACUUAUUGAGAAAGUAAAAUCACUGAACUUGAUUAAAGGGAUUACUGUAGGUAACAGAGAUCACAAAACGGAAAUUUCUUAUCUUUUCUUUGCUAAUGAUUCAUUGAUUUUUUAUCAACCAGAUUUCAGCUCCCUCAUCUUCCUAAAAUGUAUUCUACUAUGCUUUCAGGCUGUCUUCGAUUUACAUAUAAAUUUCCAAAAAUCUGAGAUGGUUUUGUUGGGAAACAACUCUAGAAAUGAAGAUUUCAGUGUGAUUUUGGGAUGCAACUAGUCACAAUUACCUAUCACUUACCUUGGCAUUCUUCUUGGCACCAAGCACAAUGAUAAUAAUUGGUGGGAACUAUGAUCGAUUUGUUAAAAUAACAGAUUAUCUACCUGGAAGAAAAAAUUUCUAUCAAAAGGAGAUAGAUUGACCCUGAUUAAAAGCACACUCUCCAAUCUCCCGAUUUACUUUUAUAGAUGCUUAACAUACCAAAUAAAGUGGCAAAAAAACUACAGCAGAUCGAAUGUAACUUUCGUUGGGGAUAGUGAAAACUGCAAGAAAUACCACUUAGUGAAUUGGUUGGAGAUCAAAAAACCCUUAAAAGAAGGGACCUUGAGACUAAAUAUCAAUAGUCAAACUAAGCAAGGCACUUCUUGGUAGAUGAAUUUGGAGAUAUUGGAAUGAAAAUAACAGCCUCUAGAAAAUGGUGAUAGACUCAAAAUGGUAUAAUGGCAAUCCACAAAAUCUCUCUUAUAUUAAAAGCAACAACUAUGGUUACAGCUUAUGAAAGAACAUCAUCACACUUAGUAAUACGAUAUUUCAGUGCUCAAAAUGGAAUAUUGGUAAUGGGUUCAAGGUCUGUUUCUGGGAAGAUUUUUUGUGCGAUUCAAAAAAACUAAAAGAUAAAUAUCCUCUUAUCUACCGGAUAGCUAAAAACAAAACGAUUUACCCUUCUUACUUCACUUAUUGGCAAACACUAACUCUUAUUAAGAGUAUGAUGGCAAAUAUUCCUGUCUAUUUCAUGUCUCAUUCAAUAGUUCCUGCAAGUGUGAUUAAAAGAUUAGAGGCAAUGCAAGUUAGGUUUCUCUGAGGCUAUUUUGAAGAGAGGAGGAAAUACUAUUUGACCAAUAGUCAUAUCUAUUUCCAUGUCUCUCUCAACGAUCCUUGUAAAUACAGCUAAAAGAUUAGAGGCAAUGCAACUCAAGUUUCUUUAGGCUAUUUUGAAGAGAGGAGAAAAUAGGAAAUACUAUUUAGUAGCUUGAAUGAUGGUUAAACAGCCAUCUGGGAGGGUGUAUUGGAUGUAAGAUCUUUGAUCGAAUUUAAGAGUGCAUUGCAAGUAAAUGGCUUUAGACAUUUAUGUGGGAGAGAGAGAGAGAGAGAGUCUAUGGAGAAAGGUGUUAGUUGGCAAAGUUUCGUUUAAAGAUUUUAAGAUUCAAGGAGCCCAAAGGGCUGCAUGGAGUUGGCUUAUGGAAGAAGAUUAAUUCCAGGAAAGAGAUCUUUCAAAAAUGUAUUAAAUGGAGAGAUGGGUUGUAGGAGGAAAUGAAGUUUUAGAAGGAUGAGUGAAUGGAAUAAGGACCUCUUUUCACAAGGUUUCCAUCUAUUUUUGCCGUUGCUUAGAACAUGAACAUAUCUCUGAAGGACACUCUUGUAGGAAUCGAUAGGGAGCAUAUUUGGUCUAUGAUUUUAUUUAGAAAUCUGAACGAUUGGGAGAUAGAAGAGUACAUGAAUCUUCUCAACUCUCCUACUCAGGUGUCCAUGGAAGGGUAAAAGAUGAACUAGCAUAGAGUCCGAACAAGAAUGGACGAUUUUCUCUCAAAUCCUUGAACCUAUUUUUACCAAGUGGGAGAGAGACACUAAAAAAUUUCCUUCUAGCAUGAUCUGGAAUGCAAAGGCCACAACCAAGGUGGCUUUUUUGCCUGCGAAGCGGUCAAUGAGAGGAUUCUCACAUUAGACAAGCUAAUUAUAAGAGGAAAAACAUUUAUUGGUGAACGGUUGCUAUCUAUGCAAAAAUGGCAAGGAGAGUUGCAAUCAUAUUAUGCUAUAGUGUUUGAUUGCUCACUGACUUUGGUUUUUGGUGUAUGGUCCUUUGGGGAGUUAAUUGAAUCAUUGUUGGCACAACAAGGGAUGAGCUGUGGGCAUGGAAGGGUUUUAACAUGGAAAAAAAAAACACAUAAGGUUUAUUCCCUUGGCCACCCUUUGAACUAUUCGGAAGGAGAGGAAUAGAGGGCUGUUCAGAGGAACUGACUCUUCCUCUGAUAGAUUUAAAGAUUCUUAGUUCCUAAGCUCUAAGCUUUUUUAUAAAAGACUAACCGCUGUAUUCUAACAAGGAUUUUGGGGACCUUAUAAACAUUUUAUUAGACUGAUAAAUAUUUUAUAUAUGGAUUGCAUCGCUGUGGUGUUUUAUUAAUUCACUUUUACUUCUAAAAAAAUAAAGUUGAAAAGAUAGAAUUUAAUUUCAUUAAAAAGAUAACAUGGAGGACUGCUUGUAAGAGCCUCUAACAGAAUGCCAAACCGCCACAUCAGAUAUAAAUCUGGAAAGCAAAAUAUAGAUGAGACUUAUGUUGAUAUAUUUAAAAAGUAAUUCCCAAAAAUAUAUUCAAAAAGUAAACAAUAACAGACCCAUCUAAGUUUGUGAUUUAGACUCCAAAUUAAAUUUCUGCAGUUCAUUCCUGUGACAUUUAGAUUCUGACUAAUAAGAAAGUUACUCAAGAGAAGAGAAAUAUUAAAAGAAAAGCGACCAGAAAACAGAAAACUAAGCACGAAAUCACAGUCAACUCUUAAAAGAGGUCCAAUCCAGCCAGAUAAAGCAACAUGUCUAACUAUCACAUAAUAAACACCAGAAAAAUAUCAUGAACAUAAUUAUCAAAGAAAAAAACCUUGAUUGCAUUAAUAAAAAACAAAAGCAGGGGAAUUAACCAAAAGGUAAAGUCUGGGUAACAUUCUUGAGCAUAGAUUCUCGGCACAGCAAAAUCAUGAGCAAUGUAAUACAUCAACCAUAUACAUCCAAUCAAAAACACAAAGUUCGUUUAGUAUUCUUCAUUCAAUGGCUUAUAUAGGUGAAGAAAUGUCAACAAAUUUGUUGAAUAUUCUUUAUUCAACGGCUCAUAUAGGUGAGAAAUGUCUGCAGAAAACAAGUAACUCUUCAAAUUUCAGAUUCCUGAAUAGCUAGCAGACCAAGAACUACCAGCAGAGUCCACCAAAACAUUUCACCUAAGUAGGCAUCUAUCACCUACAAUAAACAGGUAUAGGGACUUGGCACGAGGACUUUCUUUAAAUUCUUGGUUGGAAGUUGAAACAUAAUUAUUAGUAAUCAAACGCCUAAAAUUCUACAGGUUCGGCUCCUCAAAACCGAAAAAUAAUCUAUAAGUUCCAAAAUUCUUUUUUUUUUUUAAAUAAAAGGAAAAAAUUAUUAAAAGCUGGAGAUUCCCAGAUAUGAAGAAGAGUAUGCUGGUAAAGAAAAAAAAAAGAAAGUAGAAAUAAGCAGAAAUAGGAGGUAGAAAGAAAAGUGGUGACACAAUACAGUAUUAUUGUGUGAGCAGGCCCCAAGAGAGGAAGGAAAUCUUGGCUAAUCUACGCAAGCAUUUUGAUUAAUUAGCUUUGAUUAGGACAAAGAGGUUAGUGAGGUAAGGAGUUUGGAAUAAGGCGGAGUAGGCAUUGUAUGUCAAAUUGGACACAAGAAUUAGCUAAAUAUCCUUAAAAUAGGAAUUUGGUUUUCAUGGUAAAUAUCAUUAUUGGAAGUGGACUAGGAGUUCAUCAGCAUCUGUAAAAUAUCAAAACUUACAGUACAGCUUACCUAUAAACAUGUAAAGACAGUUACCACGGGCAAAUCAAUUAGCAUAAUUAACUAAAACAGACACUACCUUAAUACUACAGAUCGGAAGUUCACUUGAACAGGCCCUGAACCCUUAUUUCCAUAUAUCUCAACCCAUAGCCUAAUAAUUAAAUAUAGGACCAUAACACAUUGAUAUCACGGCGGGAGUAUAUAGAAAAUAUCAAGGAAUGUUAGCAACGGGUUCUUGCACAUGUCCAAGAGAACAGGAACCAUGCAACGCAAAAUGUGAGAAAGAUUGUUCUCUGUUCGAGAAAAAGCAAAAGGAGCUAAGUCAACAGAUUGAGCUGCUGUCCAGGGAGCUUUUAGGUCAGACACCCAACAAGCAACCCAUGCCUGCGAAGUAGGAGCCUGACAAAAAGGAGGAGACAACGGGAAAAAAAGAGCUUGAAGUUCUUGAUUCUGCGUGCAAUAGCAAUGACUAUGUUCACCUUUUUCCUAAUAACAGUAAAAGUGAUGAGAAGCAACAGCAGCAUGAAUCUCAGCUUCAACCCUAUGGAAGGCUUUAUGGGAAUUCAGCAAGCAGGAGUUCCCUUUUCAUCAGAUACCAGUUUUAGAGAACCUGCAUUUGUUAAUGCAAGAGUACUAUAACACACCGUCCUUUGGUGUUUGCAGACAAGCACCAUUGGGGUGAAUGGAGUAAUGUUAUGCCCCAAUAGCCUGCAGUGAAAAAGGAAACUGGAAGAAAGAAAAGAUACGGCACAAAUAUAAUACUAUAGAAUAGGUGCAGGCCCAUGAGAAUGAAGAAAUCUGGAGUUAACUCCUUAUGUAUUUUUAGUUAAUUAGGUUAGAUCAGGAGAGAUUAUUUAGGUUAGGAGUUUGGAAUAAGGUAGAUUAGGAAUUAUCUUUUGUCAAAUAGGAAAAGAAAUCAGCCAAAGAUCCCUGACAUUAGGAUCGGCUUUUAUGUGUUGAUCCUUAUUAGGUGAGGACUAGAAGUUCAUUAGCGGCUGUUGAAAAAGAAAGAAUAUGAUAUUGUUUACGUAUAAGGAUGUAAAUAGUUUGCAUAAAUAAAAUCAACCAGCGAAUAAUUAACUAAAAACAGCUUCUAGAGAUCGGUGGCUUCUCCCUAACAAACCCCAAACCAUUCCACAUACCUCAACUCAUAACUUGAUCCUUGAAUAUGGGACCAUAAAUACCUAGGUUUCUGAGCAAGAAGUCUUAAACAUCAUAUUUAAGGCUUAGUUUGCAUUAAACAACCAACAAGAAUAAGAAACUCUAGAAGAAAUUUAUUGAGUAACUGAAGGCUCCCCGAAAAUGUAAAUUUUACAAAAAUAUUCAUAAUGUUUAGUAAGAAACCUUUGCUAAAUAAAAUUAAACCAAGAAAUGCUAAUAUUAAUAGGAUUAGGAAAUAAAAGUAUCAAUAUAAACUGAAAAGCUAAACACUAAUAAGAAUAAAAUCCUAAAGUUACUAAAACUAUAACUAUAAACUCAUAAAUAUUGUAGUAGUUUUAUAUUAACAGAACUAUAAUUUCAAAUCUUAGGCACUCUAGUGCUAGCACAUUCUGCAUCAUGGUGUUAACAGUUCCACAUGGUAAGACAAAUCUAAAAUUAACUGUACAAGUUAACAAGGACUAGAAUGACAAUUUAGCCAAAUGGAAAUAAGAUACUCUUCAAUGAGAAAUAGUUCUAUUCUCAAGGUAUUUUCCUCUUUCCUUUUGCAUAGAUUCAAGCCUAGUCAAUCUAGAUAGAAACUGCUUGCUUGACCUAAUAUUUACCCAAGCUGAUACUUCUUCAGAACCUUGUUUCCUUUUUAAUUCGUAGAAUCUCCAUAAGGUUUAUAACAAUCUGUAUUAAAGCCGAAAGACGACUUAUGAUCUUAAUAUUCUUCAGAACUCAAUCCAAAAAGAAAAGCAUCAACUAGAUUUAAACUAGAUUUACACAAGAGUCCACUUGCUUCCACCUUGUUAUGAUAAUCCUUUACGGUUAUUUAGGAUUAAAUGCAAAGACCUCUUUUAGUCAAGUAUGUUUAUCCUCCAGCUUGUUCUUUCUUCCACGCUCUUCUUUCAUUUUCUAAAUCUAGAAGCCAACCCACUUGAGAAACUGACCACCAAUUCAUCUUCCUCCAACUGCAGUACAAACAUCAGGCUGCGAAACCAGUAUUUGAUUCUAGAGAUCUUAUAGUUUCAAUGCAAGUCUCAGAAUACUUCUGACACUUGGGUAAGACAAUGAAUAGGAUAACUUUGUAUGACAGUGCAGAGUACAGAUGAGCAAGGUUGGUGUGAAAAAGCUUCCUCUUAAAAAUGUUUGCUUGUUGUUGUUUUAAAAGCUUUUUGUCAUAAAAAAGUAAUCAUAGUGCUAGUAAAUUAUUUUUAUAAGAUACAACUGAGAUGCUGUGCAAAAUUUGUGUUUUUGGCAACAAUAGAUGUAAAAGUAUUAUACAAGUACAAUUAACAUGUUUAUAUUUUAUUUAAGGAAAAAAUCUCUUUUGAAGUUAAAAUCUAUUUAUAUAUUCUAUAUUAAUUUUUGGGUAAGAUUAGCAGCAGUAAGAAAUUAAAAUUUGGUCAUUAUUUUUAUUUGCUUCUGUUGAAAGCAUAUUUUGCUGCUUUGAGAAAGCAACUAUGUGGUUGAUUUCCCAAAGCAGCAAAAUUUGCUUUUCCAAUUGAAAAUUUUUUGAAAAAAAAAUCGAAAAAUAGAUCACCAAACAUGACUUCACUGAAAGGACGGUUGUUCUCUGGAGAAAGCAACUCCAAAAGCUUUACCAAAUCUGAGUGUUAAUAUUUUUGCUAUAUACAUAGGCAAACGGAGGAGUACGUAAUAUUAUGACCAUAAUUCCCUUUCCUUAAUAUUUUUUCAAAUACUAAAGUUUAAUUUAAAAUUUUAAUGUAUACCAAUACAAUAAUAUAUUAAAAUAUUUAAAGUAUAAAAUUAUUUUUAAGAAAAUAAUAAUAUAAAAUCAUUUCUGAGAUUUGUAUUUUAAGCUAAUUAUUAAUUUAAUAAAAAAAAUUAAAGAGUAAAUGUUAAUAUAUUUUAAAAAUAUUAGCAACUAAUAUAUAAUUUAAAAUAAAUCUACAUAACAAUAAGACAAAUUUAAAUCCUAAGAUGCUUUUAAAGUAUAAUAUUAUUUUUAAAACAUAAAAUUAUUUUCAAAUUAUCUUUUAAAAUUAUGAUGACUUUAGACCACGAAAAUUCAAACCAGGAAUUUACAAUAAUAGUUCCCAAGUCCGAAAAAGAUAAGAAUCGAGGAGAAUUACUACCUGUACAUGCUCAUCUUUUCCAUAAGCUCCAUGUUAAGAUCUCUAGAGAAUAAUUUAAAUGGAAAUAUAUCAUAGUAGGAACAGAAUUCUCACCUAGCUCCUGCUGCAUCUGAGGUAGAUACAUUGCUCUUUGGGACCCUACAAAAGGAAAGGUUACAGGAUAUGGAAGAGACAUCAAUAUAGAUCCCAGAAAAACAAUCAAAAAGAUAGUCCAGUGCAUUUUAUUAGUAAAUUGCCUCUAAAAUUUGUCAUUUGGUGCCAUGUCACCUUGGAGACCAAAAGUUUGUAAGUCCUAAUAGUUCAACUACUGAAAAGAAGAGUUCAAUGAACUUACGUCGCUUGCUCUGGCGGAGCAGAAACUGAAACUGGUGCAGUUGUUGAUGCAGUUGUUGAUGCAGUUGUAGAAGUGGGCUGGGAUAAAAGCAGAAUCAAUAUUCUACAGAAAAAUGAUACGCAAACAAGAAAAAGCACAAAAAUAAAAGGUUACCUG
Molecule: long non-coding RNA, 19804 nt
Filed under: Carica papaya (papaya)
Lineage: Eukaryota; Viridiplantae; Streptophyta; Magnoliopsida; Brassicales; Caricaceae
Description: long non-coding RNA (CPAP_LNC007926)
Source: RNAcentral